CUUUGACCAUUUGAUAUCUAUGCCUAAUAUUUCGAACACCAUACCUAUGUGGUUUUUUUUUUUUUCCUUCCUAACUUAUUUUUUGUCGGGCAAUGAAAACACCAGAUAAUAGGGCUAUUCGUUUUGCAAUCACCAAAACUAUCCAGCGUUCGUAUUACCAAAACAGCUUGCGUCAUUUUAAGUUCCUAAUUCUUUGUUGUUUGGUGUUCAAAAUACCGAACAACUAUUUGGUAUUCUCAAAACGCAAUGACCCCUCUCUUCCGAUCAUUUCUCUUCUCUCGCUCUCUUUCCUCUCUAUCGCUUUGCAACUUUCAAGCCCUCUCUCUCUCUCUCUGGAGCAGGCAUACGAAGCCACAACCUCGCAGAUUCGGCCAGCUAAUCAGAGGAUUCCAUGGAAAAUGCGAAACGGAACAAGCACACUCUGAUUUUGAUUGCAAAUGCGCGAGUUAUUGGAAGCAGUACAUCCAAACGGGACCAUAGACCACGGCUGGCAGCUAGUUAGAAGCAUGUCCAUGGAUCGGGUAGGUCUUUGAGCAUUUCAAUCAAAGGUUUUGUAAUCACUAUUUGACCAACCAUAGAACUUUACAACGUAAUUUCUUUAUCAAUGAUAAUGUGGUCAAUCUAUUAAAAAAGGUUCAUAUGUACUUCAUAUUUGCAUGGAAGAAAUAAUGAUUGAACAGAGACUGUCAAAUAUUUGAAUGAUCA
This is a non-coding RNA of Amborella trichopoda, 705 nucleotides long. Lineage: Eukaryota; Viridiplantae; Streptophyta; Magnoliopsida; Amborellales; Amborellaceae. The record is from RefSeq and is a predicted model, not a curated record.